CUGAUGCAGCGACGCCGCGUGAGGGAUGACGGCCUUCGGGUUGUAAACCUCUUUCAGCAGGGACGAAGCGCAAGUGACGGUACCUGCAGAAGAAGCACCGGCCAACUACGUGCCAGCAGCCGCGGUAAUACGUAGGGUGCGAGCGUUGUCCGGAAUUACUGGGCGUAAAGAGUUCGUAGGCGGUUUGUCGCGUCGUCUGUGAAAACCCACCGCUCAACGGUGGGCCUGCAGGCGAUACGGGCAGACUUGAGUACUGCAGGGGAGACUGGAAUUCCUGGUGUAGCGGUGAAAUGCGCAGAUAUCAGGAGGAACACCGGUGGCGAAGGCGGGUCUCUGGGCAGUAACUGACGCUGAGGAACGAAAGCGUGGGUAGCAAACAGGAUUAGAUACCCUGGUAGUCCACGCCGUAAACGGUGGGCGCUAGGUGUGGGUUCCUUCCACGGGAUCUGUGCCGUAGCUAACGCAUUAAGCGCCCCGCCUGGGGAGUACGGCCGCAAGGCUAAAACUCAAAGGAAUUGACGGGGGCCCGCACAAGCGGCGGAGCAUGUGGAUUAAUUCGAUGCAACGCGAAGAACCUUACCUGGGUUUGACAUGUACUGGAAAGCCGUAGAGAUACGGCCCCCCUUGUGGCCGG
Molecule: ribosomal RNA, 634 nt
Filed under: Actinomycetes bacterium
Lineage: Bacteria; Bacillati; Actinomycetota; Actinomycetes
Description: bacterial SSU rRNA
Rfam family: Bacterial small subunit ribosomal RNA
Source: RNAcentral